Molecule: non-coding RNA, 2984 nt
Organism: Rattus norvegicus (Norway rat)
Lineage: Eukaryota; Metazoa; Chordata; Mammalia; Rodentia; Muridae
Source: RefSeq, a predicted model, not a curated record
UUUUUCUUGUUGAAUUUCCUAGCCGUGAUUGGUUACUUUGGGUCCAGAGGAAUGGGUGUCAGCCAACAAAAUCAUCCUUCUGGAGCAAAAUGAUCCCAUCUUCCACCAAGUCUGAGGCCAUGUACUCCUCCAGGACAGUUGGGAUUCAAGAGUCAAAAUCCUGGCCUCAUUCGCUGUAUGGUGAAGCCGUUGACCAAGUCAGAAAUAAUGGCAUGAAAAGAUGGAUUUUCACAGUUGAUGGUACCAAAUUCUAGCACCUCCUGUGUAUUAUGGUCCACAGCCUUCAUCCCAACUCUUUGAAGAAGCUGGGCUCAUACAGGUCAUGUUAUAAGUGAAGAUGAUGCUCUCAGCCCUGUGACUUGGAGGCAGCGUCUCCCAAGAAGCAUAAUCUGCAAUUCCCCUGUCACAGCAUCAGGAGGCAGGGCCAAAUGUUUGCAACAGGAGAGCACUACUCCUGAAUGGACUAUUGAGAAGGCAAGCAUUGAAACAGGAGUUCCAUCUAGUGCUCUCAUCUGUCUGUCUGUCUGUCAUCUGAGUGCACAUGGACAUGUUCUCUUUUGUCCUUCUUCCUUCUGUGGUGGCAGCAAGAAGACAUUCAUCAAAGGGUCAAUUCCCUGAUUGUGGUCUUCAUAGCCCCCUAGAACAGUGGUUCUCAACCUUCCCAAUGCUGCAACCCUUUAAUACAGUUCCUUGCAUUGUGGUGACCCUCAACCAUAAAAUUAUUUUUGUUGCUACUUCAUAGCUUUAACUUUGCUACUGUAAUGAGUCAUAAUGUAAAUAUCUGACAUACAGGAUACCCAAAGGGGUCUCCACCCACAGGUUGAGAACCAUGGCUCUAGAAUCCUUUGGUAGUGCUGCUGCUGAUACUCUCGUACACACUGUGCUAAGGUUUAACCACUAAGCGCCAUUGACACCCGUGAGUUUCUUCAGACUAGCUUUCAGAAUGUAGCCCUAAACUCGCCAUCCUCCUGUCUCUGCUCCUGACUGCCAAGAUUAUGGCUGCCACCACAAAGGUUCCACACAGGCUUCCCUGCUUAUGAAUCACCCGGUCCACAGGAUUCUGCACAGCAACACAUAACAAACUAAGCUCAAGGCAGGAGCAUCUCACACAAUAAGCCUCUGCUUUUGGGUCCACAAUGUGCCCUUUCUCCUGUGGCAACAAAAUGUGAGGGUUUUAGCUCCUUCUAAAUUUUUUCACUUGUAAUCCAGACCACACCAUGUCCCUGGGGGCUGAGCAAGCUGCUCUGUUUCCCAGGAAACCACUGUGAGUCUUGAAGACUUAUUAAGCACUCCACAAACUUGAGGGAGUGUUUUCAUACUGAUGCUGCUAGAGCUAGAGUCCCCAGGGAGGUAGUGAGCUCUCCGUCCCUGCAGGUGUACAAGCCGAAGCCAAGCAAAGAAUUUGGAGAGAGUGCUGCAAACAAGAUUCUAACAUCAGAAAAGAUGAGCUCACCACCCUCCCCCCACCCUCCCCAAACAAACAAAUAUCGGUAGUUCACAGCCAAGUGGGCUGUCUCAGAUUCCCGGAUCUGCUGAGCAGCCUUGGCAUCAGGACUUCGCUUGGACCAAGCUCAGAAGAGGCAUCUAUGCUGUGCUCUUCAGGCCACAACGUGGCUAGCCAUUAGCAUGAUUCACAUGAACAAACUCUUGAAGAAUGAAGGAAGGAUCCUGCCCUAAACCCACCUGCUGUGACAUAUCCAGGAUCCUGAGGAUCCAUCCCAGAGACUUGGAGCAAGCAUCCGGCUUAGCCCACAGUUCCCAUCCUAUCAUCCUUCCUGUGCUGAUGUCAAAUUCAUCCCAGUGCUGACAGGUGAGCAGAGCCAGCAAUGUGGGGAGCAGGUGAAGUUCUGAAUGGAUGUGUGUCAUAGACGUGGAGCAUGGCCAUGUCAAGGACCCAAUGCCUCAAACCCACGAGAAUGACAGAGCCUUUCCCAAUUAGGUUCAGGGAAAUGGUAAAGCCUGUAUGCAGAUGUUGUCAGUGUGUGGGAAAAGUCAACAGCAGCUUCCUCCCCCUGGAUGUUUACAACCUGCGACUGGUCUGCUAUAGAGACCCCCUACCAAGAUUAGCUAAAUCUGUCUUUUCAUUCUGCUCUGUACAGUAAAUUCACUUCCUUGCUCUGCUGUAUAAAUAAAUGCACCGAGUUUCUGGGCAGGUGUGUCAUAUGUCUGUCUUUGUCCUUUCUUCAUCCCCACGCCAGUCAUCCCAGUCUUGAUCACAGGUUAAUUCCUAAAGCCAUAGCAGUCGCAGCAUAGUAGAGUCCUUCUGGACAGAGCUCAUAGCCUAGAGCAAGACAGACAAUGAGGAAGGGAACAAGAGAUUCCCUUGACAGUGCCCUUCCCUUCCAAGGCAUUUCAGAGUUUGUAUUACUGAUCCAGAUCUCUUUACUGCUCCUCAAGGUGGAGUGCAAGUUGCUAUUGCACAGAAGAGAUGAGGAACAGAAAGGAGCUAAGACCAGAUCCUUGAGGUCACCCCCCUUGACCAAAAGGCAACUUCAUUUGUGCCUGGUUUAUCUGGAAGCACUAUCCCCCACCCCAUCCUGCCUCUAUUCACUGGAUCAGCCAUACAGGCAGGCACCUCAGUCUGGAGACCUGCUGCUUUCAGCACUAUCAAAUUAGCUACCAGAAACAACAGUCCCUCCCAAAAACCAGAGUCAAGCUGGGACACCAUGUUGCCAGCUACACAAGGCACCCUCUACAGAUCUUGGCACGGCUAGCUAGUUAGUUAUUCAUCCUCCAAUGAGUAUACAAACCCAGAGUUUCAGGCAUGAGUUUGGGAGCAUGUUCAUCUGGGGAACCUGGAUGAUGAGUCCAGACCUGUCAAGAAAUUUGGAUAUGUCUGCCCACAAAAUGUUCCCGGAUCCUCCCACUUCAUCCCUGUCAGACACAGUAGAGAAUGACAGCAGCUACGAUGUUUCACAGACACAAAGUCCAGGCUGUGUCUGCUGUUAAUAGGAAAUCCCUCGCCUGGUUGCCAGUUCACCUAG